AUUGAACGCUGGCGGCAGGCCUAACACAUGCAAGUCGAGCGGAUGAAGGGAGCUUGCUCCUGGAUUCAGCGGCGGACGGGUGAGUAAUGCCUAGGAAUCUGCCUGGUAGUGGGGGAUAACGUCCGGAAACGGGCGCUAAUACCGCAUACGUCCUGAGGGAGAAAGUGGGGGAUCUUCGGACCUCACGCUAUCAGAUGAGCCUAGGUCGGAUUAGCUAGUUGGUGGGGUAAAGGCCUACCAAGGCGACGAUCCGUAACUGGUCUGAGAGGAUGAUCAGUCACACUGGAACUGAGACACGGUCCAGACUCCUACGGGAGGAAGCGGUGGGGAAUAUUGGACAAUGGGCGAAAGCCUGAUCCAGCCAUGCCGCGUGUGUGAGGAAGGUCUUCGGAUUGUAAAGCACUUUAAGUCGGGAGGAAGGGCAGUAAGUUAAUACCUUGCUGUUUUGACGUUACCAACAGAAUAAGCACCGGCUAACUUCGUG
Molecule: ribosomal RNA, 484 nt
Filed under: uncultured bacterium
Lineage: Bacteria
Description: partial 16S ribosomal RNA
Rfam family: Bacterial small subunit ribosomal RNA
Source: RNAcentral